This 2038-nucleotide ribosomal RNA is filed under the name Penilia avirostris. Its description in RNAcentral is "SSU rRNA". It matches the Rfam family "Eukaryotic small subunit ribosomal RNA". The record is from RNAcentral. Lineage: Eukaryota; Metazoa; Arthropoda; Branchiopoda; Diplostraca; Sididae.
AAGAUUAAGCCAUGCAUGUCUAAGUACGAGCCGCUAGUCGGCGAAACCGCGAAUGGCUCAAUAAAUCAGUUAUGGUUCCUUAGAUCGUACCAUCCUACUUGGAUAACUGUGGUAAUUCUAGAGCUAAUACAUGCACUCAAGCCCCGACUCUCGGUUUCGGCCGGGCAGGAGGGGUGCUUUUAUUAGAUCAAAACCAAUCGGGGGGCUCGCUCCCCGUCCUUUUUGGUGACUCUGAAUAACUUUUCGCCGAUCGCACGGCCUCGAGCCGGCGACGCAUCUUUCAAAUGUCUGCCUUAUCAACUUUCGAUGGUAGGUUAUGCGCCUACCAUGGUUGCAACGGGUAACGGGGAAUCGGGGUUCGAUUCCGGAGAGGGAGCCUGAGAAACGGCUACCACAUCCAAGGAAGGCAGCAGGCGCGCAAAUUACCCACUCCCGGCACGGGGAGGUAGUGACGAAAAAUAACGAUACGGGACUCUUCCGAGGCCCCGUGAUUGGAAUGAGUACACUUUAAAUCCUUUAACGAGGACCUAUUGGAGGGCAAGUCUGGUGCCAGCAGCCGCGGUAACUCCAGCUCCAAUAGCGUAUAUUAAAGUUGUUGCGGUUAAAAAGCUCGUAGUUGGAUUCCUGUCUUCGGCCGGGCGGUGCCGCCCGAUCAAAGGGCGUCGCACUGCUUUGGGUCGGCGGUGUCAAAGCCGUCGACUUUUAACGGUCGGACAAUACCACCGGAGCGGUCGCGUCGGUCCGUCGGGCCUCAGGGUUCGGCGGUCGCCGGCGCGGCCCGUAAUCGUCCGAGGUGCCCUUAACAAGGUGUCUCGGGCGGCCGGUAACGUUUACUUUGAACAAAUUAGAGUGCUCCAAGCAGGUGCAUACCUUCGCCUGAAUAGUACAGCAUGGAAUGAUGGAAUAGGACCUCGGUCUUAUUUUGUUGGUUUUUCUAGACCCGAGGUAAUGGUUAAUAGAGACGGACGGGGGCAUUCGUACUGCGACGCUAGAGGUGAAAUUCUUGGACCGUCGCAAGACGAACGACUGCGAAAGCAUUUGCCAAGAAUGUUUUCAUUAAUCAAGAACGAAAGUUAGAGGUUCGAAGGCGAUCAGAUACCGCCCUAGUUCUAACCAUAAACGAUGCCGACCAGCGAUCCGCCGAAGUUACUCCCAUGACUCGGCGGGCAGCUUCCGGGAAACCAAAGUCUUUGGGUUCCGGGGGAAGUAUGGUUGCAAAGCUGAAACUUAAAGGAAUUGACGGAAGGGCACCACCAGGAGUGGAGCCUGCGGCUUAAUUUGACUCAACACGGGAAACCUCACCAGGCCCGGACACUGGAAGGAUUGACAGAUUGAGAGCUCUUUCUUGAUUCGGUGGGUGGUGGUGCAUGGCCGUUCUUAGUUGGUGGAGCGAUUUGUCUGGUUAAUUCCGAUAACGAACGAGACUCUAGCCUGCUAAAUAGGUGGCGGGUUUAUCAUUGAAUUUGGGUUCGGUGUUCGUCGGGAUCAGGGCGUCGCGUGCGGGUCGCGUCGGUCCGAAAUCGGGCGCGCGCGCGCGCGCGUGGCGGUCGGGUGGCGAGGCGUUUCGGCGUCGGACUGCUCGGUCGUUGCGUGCGUGCGUGUGAGUUCGGUGGAGGUCGGCGCGGUCCGCGCGCGGGGUUCCCCGGCGGUUCGCACCGUUCUCGCGUCCGUCACAGCUCUUCUUAGAGGGACAAGCGGCGUUUAGCCGCGUGACAGUGAGCAAUAACAGGUCUGUGAUGCCCUUAGAUGUCCUGGGCCGCACGCGCGCUACACUGAAGGAAUCAGCGUGUUUUCUUCCCCCUGUCCGAAAGGACCGGGUAACCGCUGAACCUCCUUCGUGGUUGGGAUUGUGGACUGCAAUGAUCCACAUGAACCAGGAAUCCCUAGUAGGCGCGAGUCACUAGCUCGCGUCGAUUACGUCCCUGCCCUUUGUACACACCGCCCGUCGCUACUACCGAUUGAAUGAUUUAGUGAGGACUUGGGACGGUCGCGUCGGGGGUCUCGUUUUCGGGUUUCGGCUCGGAUUCGGGGCUCUAAU